AACGGCCGCGGUACCCUAACCGUGCGAAGGUAGCAUAAUCACUUGUUCUUUAAAUGAGGACUCGUAUCAACGGCAUCACGAGGGUUAAACUGUCUCCUUUCUCCAAUCAAUGAAACUGAUCUUCCCGUGAAGAAGCGGGAAUUUUUUUAUAAGACGAGAAGACCCCAUGGAGCUUUAAACCCAAUUACACCUCUAUUUUUUAUUCCAUUAAAACCUCUAGAAUUCUGUAUAUACGGUUUUAGGUUGGGGUGACCGCGGAGCAUAAAUUAACCUCCACGAUGAAUAGGGAUUAUUCCUUUACCUAAGAAUUACAUUUCUAAGAAUUAGUAUUCUAACAUAAAAUGAUCCGACCCAUUCGAUCAACGAACCAAGUUACCCUGGGGAUAACAGCGCAAUCCAUUUCAAGAGCCCCUAUCGACAAAUGGGUUUACGACCUCGAUGUUGGAUCAGGGUAUCCUAGUGGUGCAGCAGCUACUAAAGGUUCGUUUGUUCAACGAUUAAAACCCU
RNAcentral lists this ribosomal RNA (507 nucleotides) under Blommersia angolafa. RNAcentral describes it as "partial 16S ribosomal RNA". It matches the Rfam family "Bacterial large subunit ribosomal RNA", at positions 1926 to 2597 of the family's 2925-position model. The record is from RNAcentral. Lineage: Eukaryota; Metazoa; Chordata; Amphibia; Anura; Mantellidae.